RNAcentral lists this ribosomal RNA (488 nucleotides) under uncultured bacterium. Its description in RNAcentral is "partial 16S ribosomal RNA". It matches the Rfam family "Bacterial small subunit ribosomal RNA", at positions 30 to 507 of the family's 1533-position model. The record is from RNAcentral.
AUUGAACGCUGGCGGCAUGCUUUACACAUGCAAGUCGAACGGCAGCACAGGGAGCUUGCUCCUGGGUGGCGAGUGGCGAACGGGUGAGUAAUGUAUCGGAACGUGCCUGGUAGUGGGGGAUAACUACUCGAAAGAGUGGCUAAUACCGCAUGAGAUCUUUGGAUGAGAGCGGGGGACCUUCGGGCCUCGUGCUACUGGAGCGGCCGAUAUCAGAUUAGGUUGUUGGUGGGGUAAAGGCCUACCAAGCCUGCGAUCUGUAGCUGGUCUGAGAGGACGACCAGCCACACUGGGACUGAGACACGGCCCAGACUCCUACGGGAGGCAGCAGUGGGGAAUUUUGGACAAUGGGCGCAAGCCUGAUCCAGCAAUGCCGCGUGCAGGACGAAGGCCUUCGGGUUGUAAACUGCUUUUGUACAGAACGAAAAGUCUCUGGCUAAUAUCUAGAGAUCAUGACGGUACUGGAAGAAUAAGCACCGGCUAACUACGUG